This 399-nucleotide ribosomal RNA is filed under the name uncultured bacterium. RNAcentral's name for it is "partial 16S ribosomal RNA". It matches the Rfam family "Bacterial small subunit ribosomal RNA", at positions 359 to 774 of the family's 1533-position model. The record is from RNAcentral.
GAAUAUUGCACAAUGGGGGAAACCCUGAUGCAGCGACGCCGCGUGAGUGAAGAAGUAUUUCGGUAUGUAAAGCUCUAUCAGCAGGGAAGAAAAAGGACGGUACCUGACUAAGAAGCCCCGGCUAACUACGUGCCAGCAGCAGCGGUAAGACGUAGGGGGCAAGCGUUAUCCGGAUUUAAGGGGUGUAAAGGGGGCGCAGACGGCUGUGUAAGUCUGAAGUGAAAGCCCGCGGCUCAACUGCGGAACUGCUUUGGAAACUAUACAGCUUGAGUAUCGGAGGGGUAAGCGGAAUUCCUGGUGUAGCGGUGAAAUGCGUAGAUAUCAGGAGGAACACCGGUGGCGAAGGCGGCUUACUGGACGAUAACUGACGUUGAGGCCCGAAAGCGUGGGGAGCAAACA